UACAGAGGUCUCAAGCGUUGUUCGGAUUCAUUGGGCGUAAAGGGUGCGUAGGCGGCGCGGUAAGUCGGGUGUGAAAUCUCGGAGCUUAACUCCGAAACUGCAUUCGAUACUGCCGUGCUUGAGGACUGGAGAGGAGACUGGAAUUUACGGUGUAGCGGUGAAAUGCGCAGAUAUCAGGAGGAACACCGGUGGCGAAGGCGGGUCUCUGGGCAGUAACUGACGCUGAGGAGCGAAAGCGUGGGGAGCGAACAGG
Molecule: ribosomal RNA, 253 nt
Filed under: uncultured bacterium
Lineage: Bacteria
Description: partial 16S ribosomal RNA
Rfam family: Bacterial small subunit ribosomal RNA
Source: RNAcentral